UUAAAAGUACAACUUAAACUUUUAAAUUUCAUUUUAAGGCAAAAUUUUGGGGAACAACCAGGAAUUCUGGUUUUACCUUAUAGAUAGAGAUGUAAUUAGCCAUUUCACCUAAAAUCCUAGCUCUUCUGUACGAUAACUUAACUGUUUUCAUUUGACCUCUACUUCCUGUUUAUGGGGAAACCACUACUGAUAGGUGCUAUGAGAAAAACUGGGGAAGGGGUUUCUGGAUCCCAAAAUAAGUAUAAGAAAUCUUACAGUAUUAGCAUAAGAAUCAUACUUAUUAAUUAUUAGUUUUUAUAAUCCUGAAGUUUCAUUUUGAUUGCAGUUUGAAAGAGCUGCUAAAAAGAAGUGGCUAUACAUUGGAGGAGAGAGCAAACAUACAUAGAGACCUUGAAGGUGAAUCUUCUAAGGCAGGGAAGAAGCAGAGACUUGUAUCCAUUGAAUCAAAAUACAAGAACAUAAUAUGUCCAAGGAUGACCAGUUCUCUGGUGGUUACUGCUACUGAUCCAUCCAAACUGCUGGACUUCUCCUUCAUUCCCAAGGUCUUCAGGCAGUAUCUAAUGGGAAGUCAGCUCUAAAAGGAACCAGACCAUCAUUUCCUGGCCCUUUUAUUCUGUAACUACCUCUAUGUGAGGAAAGGAUAGAAAACAUUCAAGACAUCAUCAUACGGGCUUACGAUCUACAGAUUCCAACCAGUAGCAGUGGCUGGCUCCUUCACAGAAGACUGGGAACUGCAAACAGGCUGGGGUCACCUCAGUGACAUCUGACGCUGUCCAACCAGAAGUCUGACUUGUGUGCGUGUGCUGCAGGAAUUGAAAAAUGUACUAAAAGACUAAAAUAUUUCGUCUCUAUACUUUCUCGUUUG
Long non-coding RNA from Apodemus sylvaticus (European woodmouse), 865 nucleotides. RefSeq lists it as uncharacterized. Lineage: Eukaryota; Metazoa; Chordata; Mammalia; Rodentia; Muridae. The record is from RefSeq and is a predicted model, not a curated record. The transcript is spliced from 3 exons.